UAGGGAAUCUUCCGCAAUGGGCGAAAGCUUGACGGAGCAACGCCGCGUGAGUGAUGAAGGUCUUCGGAUCGUAAAACUCUGUUAUUAGGGAAGAACAAAUGUGUAAGUAACUAUGCACGUCUUGACGGUACCUAAUCAGAAAGCCACGGCUAACUACGUGCCAGCAGCCGCGGUAAUACGUAGGUGGCAAGCGUUAUCCGGAAUUAUUGGGCGUAAAGCGAGCGCAGGCGGUCAAUUAAGUCUGAUGUGAAAGCCCCCGGCUCAACCGGGGAGGGUCAUUGGAAACUGGUUGACUUGAGUGCAGAAGAGGAGAGUGGAAUUCCAUGUGUAGCGGUGAAAUGCGUAGAUAUAUGGAGAAACACCAGUGGCGAAGGCGACUCUCUGGUCUGUAACUGACGCGGAGGCUCGAAAGCGUGGGUAGCAAACAGG
Molecule: ribosomal RNA, 429 nt
Filed under: Bacteroidota bacterium
Lineage: Bacteria; Pseudomonadati; Bacteroidota
Description: Bacteroidetes bacterium partial 16S ribosomal RNA
Rfam family: Bacterial small subunit ribosomal RNA
Source: RNAcentral